This 713-nucleotide ribosomal RNA is filed under the name uncultured Eubacteriales bacterium. RNAcentral's name for it is "bacterial SSU rRNA". It matches the Rfam family "Bacterial small subunit ribosomal RNA", at positions 63 to 779 of the family's 1533-position model. The record is from RNAcentral. Lineage: Bacteria; Bacillati; Bacillota; Clostridia; Eubacteriales.
CGAACGAUGAAACUUAGUAGACUUCUUCGGAAAGACACUAAGCGGAUUAGUGGCGAACGGGUGAGUAACGCGUGAGUAACCUGCCUUACACAAGGGGAUAGCCUUUGGAAACGAAGAAUAAUACCCUAUAAAACUAUAAAAGCACAUGCUAGAAUGGUCAAAGUGCUAGCGGUGUAAGAUGGACUUGCGUCUGAUUAGCUAGUUGGUGAGAUAAAAGCUCACCAAGGCAACGAUCAGUAGCCGGCUUGAGAGAGUGUACGGCCACAUUGGGACUGAGACACGGCCCAGACUCCUACGGGAGGCAGCAGUGGGGAAUUUUGCACAAUGGGGGAAACCCUGAUGCAGCGACGCCGCGUGAUUUAGAAGGCCUUCGGGUUGUAAAAAUCUUUUGUAUAGGAAGAAAAUGACAGUACUAUACGAAUAAGGUCCGGCUAAUUACGUGCCAGCAGCCGCGGUAAUACGUAAGGACCGAGCGUUGUCCGGAAUCAUUGGGCGUAAAGGGUACGUAGGCGGCUAGAAAAGUUAGAAGUCAAAGGCUAUAGCUCAACUAUAGUAAGCUUCUAAAACUAUUUAGCUUGAGAAAUGGAAGGGAAAGUGGAAUUCCUAGUGUAGCGGUGGAAUGCGCAGAUAUUAGGAAGAAUACCGGUGGCGAAGGCGACUUUCUGGCCAUUAUCUGACGCUGAGGUACGAAAGCGUGGGUAGCAAACAGGAUU